RNAcentral lists this long non-coding RNA (255 nucleotides) under Phoenix dactylifera (date palm). RNAcentral describes it as "long non-coding RNA (PDAC_LNC009407)". Lineage: Eukaryota; Viridiplantae; Streptophyta; Magnoliopsida; Arecales; Arecaceae. The record is from RNAcentral.
GCUCCCUUGCAGAGAUAACUUUGAUGGCUGAUCACCUCCCUUUACUUCAACUCUUGAAUGAUAGAGGGAGGAGGAAGAAGAUGAAGGGAUCAAGGGAGAAGAUCCAAAAGGCUAGAUGCAGCCUUUCCUUUUCCUUGUGUUGAAUCCCAAACGAAGGAGGAAGAAGAAGACUAUCAAGGCCCUUUUCCUUCUUGCUUGCGGCUGAUCCAAGAGGAGAGAAGGGUGGCCACGAAUUGGAGAGGAGGAGGGCUUCUA